CGUUAUGGCGGCGGUGCGUGGGAGGCUUCGGCCUGCCGGGUUCCUAUGUCCCCGGUCUGCGAACCCGCGUACCGUCGCCCCCAUU
This 85-nucleotide non-coding RNA is filed under the name Halomonas ventosae. The record is from RNAcentral. Lineage: Bacteria; Pseudomonadati; Pseudomonadota; Gammaproteobacteria; Oceanospirillales; Halomonadaceae.